RNAcentral lists this long non-coding RNA (4376 nucleotides) under Sus scrofa (pig). RNAcentral describes it as "lncRNA (ENSSSCG00040035140.1)". Lineage: Eukaryota; Metazoa; Chordata; Mammalia; Artiodactyla; Suidae. The record is from RNAcentral.
UUUUUUUUUUUUUUUUUUUUUUUUUUACUUCCAGCACAUAUUAAAGUCCAAUAAAUACUUGUUAAAUAACCAAGUUUAGAAAAGGAGAAGUUGUUAGAAACACAGGUCUAACAGUCAGGACUGAAAUAGGUCAAAUUCCCGGGAGCAUCUAUUUUGGAAUGACAGAAGACAAGCCAUGGCUUCCCUCUCAAGGAAAGCUGGUGAGCCUGCAGUGACAGAGCAGGGCCUCCAACCCUUCUCCCUGGGCGACAAAUACAGGGAGCUUUCUACCGUAAACUGAUGCCUAGAAGAAUGAGGUAGUAACACAUCUCAAAAGUGUUAAAGUGGUACACAAAUACAAGAGGGUAUGCUUUCUUCUGCUUAUCUUCCCAAAGAAUUUCCCGAUAAGGAUACGAGAGACAAGCGGUCCCUACCCAGCCCUUUCAAAGAAGUCUGUCCAAAAAGCUGUUUACAGACCUUCUCUCUGUUCAGAUUCACUGUGGACCUAGGAUGCUGUUACCAACGGUAUAAACUGCCCUUAUGGCUCUGCCACGUCAUUCAGUUACUCACAGCGACAACAAAAGCCUGGCCGAAGGACAUGAGGACUAGGCCAGCCAUUCAGCUGGAUCCUCGGAAAAGUCACAGCAACCAAACUCCAACCAUCCGCGGCAAAAGAGAGGCAAACAUCGAGCGCGAAGAUAAAUAGCUCUGACCCAUCUUCCAAACCUGAUUAUAAAAUACAGUCUACUGAAUUCCUUGUACUAAAUAAUUCAUAGCAGUGAAUUCUGUGAUAACAAAGCUGAUAAGCCCCCACGGAAUACAAGCGAGAACUUGGAAAUACUUUAAUGAGGAUGAAUUAUGUAUUGUAAGGUCAUUUGUUUUAACAGCCUUUGGUCUAUUAACAAGUAUUCGCUUACCAAAAAAAAAAAAAAAAAAAAAAAAAAAAACAUGGAAAAAUGAAAAACACUAAUCAUCUAAAUAAAGGGAAAAAUGUAACAGGUUUUUCUGAAUUAACACAUGAUUUUACCUUUUAUCCUUCUUUUACAGGGCUUAUUAACUGUGGCUUCUGCAUUUGUUUAGCACAUGUACUUCACUUCAGUCGCUGCAGGAGGCACUGAGAAUUCCUGAACCUCUAACACCCUCUCAUCUCUUCCAACUACAGUUUAUGGGAGACUAGAAAGUGGUUUUAGAAGAUCUCCUAUCCCAUCCUUCCUUUGAUCCUCCGAAACGCAGGACAAGGAAAGGAGCCCAGGAGCCCUGUCUUCCCACCUGCCUGCCAGGGACCCUGCCCGCUGACCAGCACCCAGGCCCUCACUCUUGAGACCUGGGACAGUCCUCACAACAGAGUCUACAGAAUGGAUAACUAGGUUAGUUGGACCUCAUCACAGCCUAACAAGACACAUCGGCCGUGUCGCUCUGCUUCCAUGAACGCUCCUGCCUUGCCCGGCUCCCGUCCACCCUCCCCCUCAAAGAAAGAAAGAAAGAAAGAAAGAAAGAAAGAAAGAAGAAGGAUUGGACUUGUGGGUUGGCUCCAUCUCCUUUUUACUAUGCACAGACUUUGGGUGCACAUGAAAAUUAAGAGAAAAUUAAGAACGGCAGGAGACAAGCGAGUAGGUGAAAGUCACAGACUCACAGUUACACGGGACUGUCCUAGCUUUUUUUUGUUUGUUUGUUUGUUUGUUUGUUUUGUUGUUUUUUUUUUUUUUUUUUUUUUUUUUUUUGUCUUUUUGCCUUUUCUAGGGACACUCCCAUGGCACAUGGAGGUUUCCCAGAAAAUACAAAAAAAAAAAAAAAAAAAAGCUGAGAAUCUAACACUGAUUAUAGACUUAAAGACUCAAAAUGGAAUUACAUAAUUGAUAACACUUCAGUUUUGUUUUCAGAAACCUUCUGACUUUACCAAAAUCCAUUCCUCUGACUAAAGAAAUGAUAGAAUCUUAGAAAGAUGGCAGAGAAUAUGAGGCUUUAAAAUCACAGACUUAUUAAGGAUGGAAACAGCAUUAUUUGGGUCUUCACAAGACCCAAAGACCUUGUAUGCUAUACUUACAGCUAAAGUCAGGCAGCAACACACAAAUGAACUUUUAAUUUCUCCCAGGAUGCACUGAGUAUUUUCUUACCUUUUGGUGACACUGCCCUUUUAAGUGAGCCACAGCGAAUGAGGCCUGACACACCUCCCCACCCUAGUCAGGCUCCUCGCCCCCUUCCACAGUGUAGACUCCAGAGCUGCAGCCGAGGCCAGACUUCUCUGCAGUGUCCCAGCCACAUAUAAUCAGCGGCCUGAUAGGCAGUGUCACUGUACCUUCCACAAAUGCCUUGCACUUGUGACAAGACAGAGGCAGCCCCCGCCUCGGCCACACAAAGAAGCCAUCAUUUGUUCUUAACCUGCUUGGUUUGGAUGGGUGUAGAUUUAAUGAGAACAGAGGAAGCUAUUCUGCUUAACAGUAGAUGGUGAACCCUCAACUGAUCUGGUUAAUAUCUCUUCUUUGUUCUUUAGCAUUAGGCACUACGAUAACUUUAUCUGAAACUAAGGCACGGAGUUCCCCGGUGGCUUGGUGGGUUAAGACUCAGGCAUUGGCCCUGCUGUGGCUCGGGUUCAGGUUUGAUCCCUGGCCUGGGAACUUCUACAUGCUGCAGGUGUGGGGAAAAACAAAACAAAACCAAACUAAGGCAAAACUUGUAUUUCCUGAAUCUUGGAGUAUUUCGCCUCUCCCUUCUCUAACCAACAGUAGGUAUUUUUACCAUUUUAAUAUUCAUUUGACCUCUAGGCGCUGUGCACGGAAGGACCUACAGGACAAUCUUAGCACCGCAAUGACAUGUAAGACCAGCCAUAAGUACAUUUUGUGCAGAAAUACAAGAAGACAUUUAAAACCAAAUGAGACAAACUGUGUUCCUCCUAACUCCCAUGAUCACACUCUUCCUGCUGAUGAAAGACAAGAGAGGACGUCUAAACUGCCAAAGAAUCAGAAAUUGUCCCCAUAAACAGAGCGAUGAUGCCUCUUAAUGCUUAGCAAGUGCAUGCUACAGACUGACACGGAUAAAAUGUCCUAAGAUCUGCAGGUAAGUUAAGUCUCCAUUUCUUUAUUUCAUCUCCUUUCAAUAAGGAGCCACAGCUGCUCAAAGGUGGGGGGGAAGGGGGGUCAGGGAAAGGGAGGAAAGAUUCUAGAACUAGAGGUAAAGGCCGCUAUCACCUACUCGGACUCCCGCCAAAGCGGGGGCCAUCCGAGAUGCCCAGCUCUCUUACUUUCUUAUUCUCUCCAACUCAUUCAGCCACUUUUUGAGCCAAGCUAAUGUGUUUACUGCAGCUGCUGGGGAUACAGAACGGACUGAGGCAAUUCUGAUCCCUCAGUGAUUCCUGGGGAGACAUGAGAAAAGGGACUUUACGGUGUCAGGAAGCAAGUGUCCUUCUGACCGACACACGGCAGCUGGCGAAGGAUGCCCAGGCAGGCUGGCGAAGGAUGCCCAGGCCAGGCCUUGCAAAGAAGAUGGGAGGUGAGCCUGAAAGAAUGGUGGGACCAGGCAAGCUCAGGGAAAGGGGAUGUCCCCACCGAAGCAGGGCAGGAAGACAGGAGCACAAACCAACACCCAAAGCACACUGUUAGGAGACUAGGGGCCUGAGUUAUUUAUCCUAGAUGAGAACUGAAGGAUUUCAAACAAGGGAAAACCUACCUAGAAACACGGAGAAGGUGUUGGGGGUGUUUCUUUAAGAAACGUAUCCAUAGGUAUCCAGACAAAAAAAUUUAACUCAAUCCUAAAUUUUAAAAGGGGAGAAGAGUUAGAAGAUACUGGGGGGGGGGGGGUCUUUAAAAAAAAAAAAAAAGAAAUAGUCCUUUUUCUUGGUAAUUUUAAGGUAUACUAUCCCUGAAGUCUAGAUUUGCAAAUAUAAACUAAAUUUCUUCCUACAUCUCAUAAACCAAAUGCAUCUUAAUACAUUACUGAAUAAAUAUACCUGUGUUCCCCUUUAUAAUAACCUUGGUUUUAUUGUGAUGCUAGUUCCUGACCUGCCAUUAAUUAAGAACCUAAUACACAGGUAUCAAAGCACUAGAGCUUUUAUUGCUAUUAAAAACAGAAUGUGAAAGCAUAAAGUUGCAAAGUACCUCUUUACAGUCGUAUCACAGGAGAGCAAAGGACCAAUCCUCUGAGCAUACUAUUUAAGGCCCUGGAAGACACCAUCUCUGGGUACCUUCCCAGGUUAAUUUCCGAUGUGCUUUUUCCCUGACUUCAUGAACAGACAGUGUAUCUUUGGCCCAUGUGGCUUAAACUUUUAUAAGUACUUUAAAUGUUUUUUUUAAAUAAUUAUUGACAUUGGGGUUGUUCUUUUAAACUUCUAGCAAAGAAAACAAUGAAAAAAAUGCUUUAAAAAAAGCAUUUUGAAGUGAAACAACUUUAUAUCAGCAUUUGAU